CGCAGCGAGGACAACCGGUAAGUCGCCGGGCCCAUUACCCGGAGGAAGGCGGUUCGAUUCCGCCCGCUGCAA
Molecule: transfer RNA, 72 nt
Filed under: Tessaracoccus sp.
Lineage: Bacteria; Bacillati; Actinomycetota; Actinomycetes; Propionibacteriales; Propionibacteriaceae
Description: tRNA-Met
Rfam family: tRNA
About the family: Transfer RNA (tRNA) molecules are approximately 80 nucleotides in length. Their secondary structure includes four short double-helical elements and three loops (D, anti-codon, and T loops). Further hydrogen bonds mediate the characteristic L-shaped molecular structure. tRNAs have two regions of fundamental functional importance: the anti-codon, which is responsible for specific mRNA codon recognition, and the 3' end, to which the tRNAs corresponding amino acid is attached (by aminoacyl-tRNA synthetases). tRNAs cope with the degeneracy of the genetic code in two manners: having more than one tRNA (with a specific anti-codon) for a particular amino acid; and 'wobble' base-pairing, i.e. permitting non-standard base-pairing at the 3rd anti-codon position.
Source: RNAcentral